AUCUAUAUAGCUUGUUCACGCAAAUACAUGGUAACACCAACAUACUUGGUAUGAUAUUGUGGUCAAUUACUAUUAUCCAAUGUUCCAUAGCCAAAACAGUUGAACGACCAAAAGAAGUGCUCCAUAGCCACGACAGUGGCAUACACUGGACUGACCAAAAGGCAACUAAAUAUGACCAAUAACUACAAAUAUGCUCUAUUUGCCUUCUUAGCUUUGAAAUCAACCUUUAAUCCAUCAAUUCCACCAAUGCUAGAGAACUGAGAGUGGUUUGAGUUGAUGGUUGUUCUUGUUUAACAUUUUCCUAACCUCUGUUUCUUUUUUAAAAAAGGAUACCAUUGUUUGUUGCUUCACCAUUACCUG
Molecule: ribosomal RNA, 360 nt
Filed under: Triticum aestivum (bread wheat)
Lineage: Eukaryota; Viridiplantae; Streptophyta; Magnoliopsida; Poales; Poaceae
Description: partial small subunit ribosomal RNA
Source: RNAcentral